This 450-nucleotide ribosomal RNA is filed under the name uncultured bacterium. RNAcentral describes it as "partial 16S ribosomal RNA". It matches the Rfam family "Bacterial small subunit ribosomal RNA", at positions 354 to 796 of the family's 1533-position model. The record is from RNAcentral.
GUGGGGAAUAUUGGACAAUGGGCGAAAGCCUGAUCCAGCCAUGCCGCGUGUGUGAAGAAGGUCUUCGGAUUGUAAAGCACUUUAAGUUGGGAGGAAGGGCAGUAAGUUAAUACCUUGCUGUUUUGACGUUACCGACAGAAUAAGCACCGGCUAACUUCGUGCCAGCAGCCGCGGUAAUACGAAGGGUGCAAGCGUUAAUCGGAAUUACUGGGCGUAAAGCGCGCGUAGGUGGUUUUGUAAGUUGGAGGUGAAAUCCCCGGGCUCAACCUGGGAACUGCCUCCAAAACUGAAUGACUAGAGUACGGUAGAGGGUAGUGGAAUUUCCUGUGUAGCGGUGAAAUGCGUAGAUAUAGGAAGGAACACCAGUGGCGAAGGCGACUACCUGGACUGAUACUGACACUGAGGUGCGAAAGCGUGGGGAGCAAACAGGAUUAGAUACCCGAGUAGUCC